Long non-coding RNA from Gracilinanus agilis (Agile Gracile Mouse Opossum), 592 nucleotides. RefSeq lists it as uncharacterized. NCBI's taxonomy places the organism in Eukaryota, Metazoa, Chordata, Mammalia, Didelphimorphia, Didelphidae. The record is from RefSeq and is a predicted model, not a curated record. The transcript is spliced from 3 exons.
UCUUGGCUCCACCACCCCUCCUGACCACUGCUGAUUCCAGGACAGUACCAUGCUACACUGCCUUUGUCCUUGAUUCUUCAUCUCUUCUCAUCUGAGUAAACAAAAACCUAUAGAGGAAGUUGCUUCCAGGGCAAAGUUGGCUGCCAAAGAAAGUGUUUCCCUCCUCCAAUCCCAGUGGCCUCUUUGUGGCCUAGCACAACUGCUGCUAUCACCCCAUCAUUGGUGCCAUUACCUACCAGAGCUUCAGUGCAAAGAAAUCUUGGACAGAUAUUACAGAAUGCUACCUGAAAACACCAGAAAUCUCUCACUGUCUCUGGAUGAAGAGAAAAGGAGGAAUACUACAAUAUUACUUAACAACCUAAGAAGAAAAGGAGGAAUACUACAAUAUUACAUAACAAGGGCCAAAAAACUAAAAAGUAAGAAAAGAUCUAGACUAAGAAUUUUCCAAACUGGAAGUGGGGGGAAGGAAGCAAAGACCAGAAUCCUAACAAAUCUCUAUCUAUAGCUAUUAAUAUGGUGAAAACAGUGCUUGAUAAAUCAUAUCAAAGCAGUUUCAAAUGGUUCCACUGAUAGACAAGAUUAUAUGUGUAAG